This 77-nucleotide transfer RNA is filed under the name Granulosicoccus antarcticus IMCC3135. Its description in RNAcentral is "tRNA-Arg". It matches the Rfam family "tRNA". Rfam says of the family: Transfer RNA (tRNA) molecules are approximately 80 nucleotides in length. Their secondary structure includes four short double-helical elements and three loops (D, anti-codon, and T loops). The record is from RNAcentral. RNAcentral also lists the same sequence under 7 other names. Lineage: Bacteria; Pseudomonadati; Pseudomonadota; Gammaproteobacteria; Chromatiales; Granulosicoccaceae.
GCGCCCGUAGCUCAGUUGGAUAGAGUACCUGGCUUCGAACCAGGUGGUCGGAGGUUCGAAUCCUUCCGGGCGCGCCA